GUACGCCAUGUAUGUGACCCUUGGAAAGCCCUUCGAUUUUUCAGCAGUGAGUUUUAUCAAUUAUUUGGUUAUUUGUUCACCAAAAUGGACUGAAAAGACAAUUUAGUAUCGGUGCCAAUUAGUAAAAGACAAUUAUUAAUGACAAUUAAUGAGAAUUAUUAAGAUUUUUUACUUGACAUAUUUGAUUAAUUAGUUAGACAUGCCUGAAUCAGGAGGUGGUGGUGCCAUCAGUUACUACAGGCAUUUCCUCUGGCAAGCCAACAGUCAGUCACCAAACCAAUGAUCCAACCGGAUCUAAACGUUAUGGAGGUCACCCCAUCUGUGCCAGACGUCAUGGAGAUCACCCCAGCUAUGAGAAUCCAUAAAGGACUCGGCUGUGAUGAAACAGAUUCUGCUCACUGUGACUGGGUGAAGGAGUACCGAACCCACUUUGCUGGGAAAGUUCAUCUACCACAGGUCACAAGAAUGAACGAGGAUGAUCAUUGACCAAUAACUGUCUGUCUGUCUGAAAAAAAAAAUCUUGUUGUUCAUUCUCUCCUUUGCUUACUCCAGCUUUAAUCCUAGUAG
Triplophysa rosa is the source of this 567-nucleotide long non-coding RNA. RefSeq lists it as uncharacterized. The transcript has 3 exons. The record is from RefSeq and is a predicted model, not a curated record. Lineage: Eukaryota; Metazoa; Chordata; Actinopteri; Cypriniformes; Nemacheilidae.